This 403-nucleotide ribosomal RNA is filed under the name uncultured bacterium. RNAcentral describes it as "partial 16S ribosomal RNA". It matches the Rfam family "Bacterial small subunit ribosomal RNA", at positions 28 to 526 of the family's 1533-position model. The record is from RNAcentral.
GACGAACGCUGGCGGCGUGCCUAAUACAUGCAAGUCGAACGCAGUGGGGACGGGUGAGUAACCCGUGGCUAACCUCCCAUCAGAGGUGAUAACACUUGGAAACACGUGCUAUACCGAUAUUGAUUGUUGGACCCGUGGUGCAUUAGCUAGUUGGUGAGGUGACGGCUCACCAAGGCCACGAUGCAUAGACGAGCUGAGAGGGUGAGCGGCCACACGGGGACAGAGACACGGACCAGACUCCUACGGGAGGAAGCAGUGGGGAAUCUUGGGAGAUGGACGAAAGUCUGACCGAGCAACGCAGCGUGAGUGAAGAGGGUAUUCGGAUCGUAAAACUCUGUUGUUAGAGAAGCGGUAGCUAAACAGAAAGCCACGGCUAACUACGUGCCAGCAGCCGCGGUAAUUC